RNAcentral lists this ribosomal RNA (454 nucleotides) under uncultured bacterium. Its description in RNAcentral is "bacterial SSU rRNA". It matches the Rfam family "Bacterial small subunit ribosomal RNA", at positions 28 to 519 of the family's 1533-position model. The record is from RNAcentral.
GAUAAAUGCUGGCGGCGUGCCUAAUACAUGCAAGUCGAGCGGUAAGGCCCUUCGGGGUACACGAGCGGCGGACGGCUGAGUAACGCGUGGGAACAUGCCCCAAAGUGAGGGAUAACGCACCGAAAGGUGUGCUAAUACCGCAUAUGGUCUUCGGAUUAAAGGAUUUAUCCGCUUUGGGAGUGGCCCGCGUACGAUUAGAUUGUUGGUGAGGUAACGGCUCACCAAGUCGACGAUCGUUAACUGGUCUGAGAGGAUGAUCAGUCAGACUGGAACUGAGACACGGUCCAGACUCCUACGGGAGGCAGCAGUAAGGAAUCUUCCACAAUGGGCGAAAGCCUGAUGGAGCAACGCCGCGUGCAGGAUGAAGGCCCUCGGGUCGUAAACUGCUUUAUGAGUGAAGAAUAUGACGGUAACUCAUGAAUAAGCACCGGCUAACUACGUGCCAGCAGCCGCG